CCUCAAUAAAUCUUGGGUCGGUGAAGGAGGAUCUCCCCAGGUAGACUUGAACGCUUUCUUGUGCUGCCACUAAGAAUCAUGGGAACUGUAGUUUGGUCACACAAGCCUCCUCAGCUUCAACUAAGAAAAGACCCUUCCGUCCAAUCAAAGUGUUGAAAUGGUCCUUCAGGAUUUGAGUGUGAUGGGACUGGCAGAGGCUCUCCAGAGGUCUAAGCAGGAUGAUGAGCGGAAAAACGCUGUCCUUUCUGCCCACUGUACACCUCACAAGUGCAACCAAUUAGAGUAAUUGAAAAAGGGAGACAUGUCCAAUUAAUAGUUUGUUCAGAGGAAGCAGAAAUGGUGUAGAGUGGUUUGAGGCAGGUCGAAAGCAGGAAGAAAAUGGGCAAUUAUUUACGUCUCACAUGCCAGCACCAUUAUCUGGCCAUUCACUCUCAACAGGGUUUCCUGUAAAUAAAAAAUGGAAUGGGCAAAAAGCAAG
This is a long non-coding RNA of Cyprinus carpio carpio, 478 nucleotides long. The record is from Ensembl. NCBI's taxonomy places the organism in Eukaryota, Metazoa, Chordata, Actinopteri, Cypriniformes, Cyprinidae.